AUUUUCUUAGUAUAACUAGUAUAGAUGACUUCCAAUCACCUGGCCCCAGUUAAACCCUGGGGGAAAAUA
RNAcentral lists this transfer RNA (69 nucleotides) under Sooglossus thomasseti (Thomasset's Seychelles frog). RNAcentral describes it as "tRNA-Gly". The record is from RNAcentral. Lineage: Eukaryota; Metazoa; Chordata; Amphibia; Anura; Sooglossidae.